This 334-nucleotide unclassified non-coding RNA is filed under the name soil metagenome. Its description in RNAcentral is "partial contains 5.8S ribosomal RNA, internal transcribed spacer 2, and large subunit ribosomal RNA". The stretch from base 1 to 120 matches the Rfam family "5.8S ribosomal RNA", at positions 35 to 154 of the family's 154-position model. The record is from RNAcentral.
GAUGAAGAACGUAGCGAAAUGCGAUAAGUAGUGUGAAUUGCAGAAUUCAGUGAAUCAUCGAAUCUUUGAACGCACAUUGCGCCCCUUGGUAUCCCGAGGGGCAUGCCUGUUCGAGCGUCAUUUCAACCAUCAAGCCCCCGGCUUGUGUUGGGGACCUGCGGCUGCCGCAGGCCCUGAAAUGCAGUGGCGGGCUCGCUGUCACUCCGAGCGUAGUAGUUACAUCUCGCUCUGGGCGUGCUGCGGGUUCCGGCCGUUAAAAGCCUUAUUUACCCAAGGUUGACCUCGGAUCAGGUAGGAAGACCCGCUGAACUUAAGCAUAUCAAUAAGCGGAGGA